This is a non-coding RNA of Acanthosepion pharaonis, 109 nucleotides long. NCBI's taxonomy places the organism in Eukaryota, Metazoa, Mollusca, Cephalopoda, Sepiida, Sepiidae. The record is from the annotation of a GenBank genome assembly.
CCAUAUCACAGUGACACACCAGUUCUCAUUUGAUCACCAAAGUUAAGCAAUGUUGAGGCUAGUCAGUCUCUAGAUGGGUGACCACUGGGUGAAUAUCAAGUGCUGUAAG